Molecule: non-coding RNA, 1116 nt
Organism: Chiloscyllium plagiosum (whitespotted bambooshark)
Lineage: Eukaryota; Metazoa; Chordata; Chondrichthyes; Orectolobiformes; Hemiscylliidae
Source: RefSeq, a predicted model, not a curated record
UAUAACCUGGUGUUGUGUGAUUUUUAACUUUGUACCUUUUCCAAGUAAUUCUCCACUUAUCCCCCAUCAAAAAAAAAUUAAUUCUUUUUAAAAUUAUUUUUACAACUACUUCCAAUACUCUUUUUGGAAGUAUAAUUUUUGGGAAGUUUCAUGGAAGGUUUCCCACUGUACCUCAUGAAGCUUUUUUCUCAUUCAAUUGUACAGUAACAAAGUCAAACUUACUCGCUACCAUGUGGUCCAUCUGCCAUUCAUGCCACAGAUGCUAUACUUAAAUCCUAGCCGUGCAACACUUCAACUCCUACAAGUCAGAAACUGCCCUGUAGAUUGUGACACUGAACCAUGAUCACAUAAGUACUUAGAGAUGUUGGUGGAUGGUAAAGUGGACCUGAGAGCUGUCCUUUUUCCUGUAGACCAGCAAAGCAGGCCAUGCUACAAGAUAAAACCAGCCUGGACCCAGAUUGCAGAUGAGAUCAAUGGUAUUUCUUUCACCAAGAAGCAAUUACAUCAGUGCUGCAAGAAUCUUAAUGAUCUUCUGAGCUUUUCAAGGUGCCCUCAUCUUCCUCAGAAGACUGUUGCCAUUUCCCCAGCUCCUGAGCAUCCAUGACCUCCCUUUGCCUGGGCAAAAGUGAGGACUGCAGAUGCUGGAAACCAGAGUUUAGAUCAGAGUGGUGCUGGAAAAGUACAGCAGGUCAGGCAGCAUCCAAGGAGCAGGAAAAUUGAUGUUUCGGGCAAAAGCCCUUCAUCAGGAACCUUUGCCUGUCUGUUAUGUAGAGCUCAUCAUGCCAGGAUUAUGUUGUACUAAUGUGCUGCAAGGCCCCAUUCGUGUGAUCCAAGCUCCAGGAUCUGAUCUUGAGGAGUGCUAUAGUCUUCAAAAAUGGCCCAGAGUUUUCUUUAUGAACUUCCUGAACAUCAUCUCUUUCCUGUAUAUGUAUUUUUUCAGAAUGCCAGACAGAUAUAAAAGGAAGAUGACAAUAUAACCCUAAGAAUGGUUCAAUCACCAAGCUAAAUAUUGUUAAGUACAACUUUGUGGUUAAUGUCAAGAAUGAAAAUAAAUAUCAUUUUAUAAUUUGGAGAUGCCGGUGUUGGACUGGGGUGUACAAAGUUAAAAAUCACACA